AUCUAAGUCCAUAUCACCCUGAAUGUGCCCAAUCUCAUCUGAUCUCAGAAGCUAAGCAGGGUCAGGCCUGGUUAGUACUUGGAUGGGAGACAGGCCUUCAGAAGAGACAGCUCAGAGACAAGCAGUUUGGAGA
This 133-nucleotide ribosomal RNA is filed under the name Castor canadensis (American beaver). Lineage: Eukaryota; Metazoa; Chordata; Mammalia; Rodentia; Castoridae. The record is from RNAcentral.